Molecule: ribosomal RNA, 383 nt
Filed under: uncultured Verrucomicrobiota bacterium
Lineage: Bacteria; Pseudomonadati; Verrucomicrobiota
Description: uncultured Verrucomicrobia bacterium partial 16S ribosomal RNA
Source: RNAcentral
CGCCGUACUGAUGCGCCAUUACUAGCGAUUCCAACUUCAUGGAGGCGAGUUGCAGCCUCCAAUCCGAACUGGGCCCAACUUUACGGGAUUAGCUCCACCUUGCGGUCUUGCGUCCCUCUGUAUUGGGCAUUGUAGUACGUGUGCAGCCCUGGCCGUAAGGGCCAUACGGACUUGACGUCGUCCCCACCUUCCUCCCCGUUUCACAGGGCAGUCUGGUCAGAUUCCGGUUGCCCGGGAAUAACUAACCACGAGGGUUGCGCUCGUUGCGGGACUUAACCCAACAUCUCACGACACGAGCUGACGACAGCCAUGCAGCACCUGUGCAAAUCGCCCUUGCGGGCCAGCGUGUUUCCACGCCUGAACUAAGCAUGUCAAGGCCAGGA